This 1065-nucleotide ribosomal RNA is filed under the name Triticum aestivum (bread wheat). RNAcentral describes it as "partial small subunit ribosomal RNA". The record is from RNAcentral. Lineage: Eukaryota; Viridiplantae; Streptophyta; Magnoliopsida; Poales; Poaceae.
AUGAUUAUUGAACAUGAAAAUCGUUCGAAUGUCCAGCUACCGGUUGAAGAGUAUUAUUUAGAUGCAUCCUUUAGAUGUAAUCAAGUACUAAUUCAAUGGGAUGAGCCUCAUGUGGAGCUGAAGAAACACCGGACCUUUCUUGAUCAGCUCAUGCCACUAUAUAGCACACAAUCAAGGUUUAAUAGAGAAAGUUUACCCGGUAUGCGUGUCAUGGAUAAAGCCGAUAAGUUACUGGCGAGUAUUUCAUAUGGUGAUUCUGUUUGGAAGAUGGUUACCAGUAUUACGAGUCGAUCGACACAAACUCCUCAGAGGCGAGGUGUUCUCAUUCGGCUCAUUAAGCCAUAUGAUUCAGAUGAUGGGCCACCAGUUAAGAAGCAAAGGAAUGCCAGAUAUCAACUGCGAUUUGUCAAUAGGGUGUGCAAUGACUACUACACACGGGAACAGAUCAAAUCAGAGGAUGGAAAUCUUUUAAAGGUAGCUUUGUAUGAUGAGAACAAUCUAGUAGUCACAUCUGGUCCACUGUCCUCAGCUUCGGUGGAGAUCGUACUACUUCAUGGUGAUUUCAAUGACGAAGGUCGAGAUUAUUGGACAUCAGAGGAGUUCAGUGCCUGCCUAGUGCAUCCACAAUCUGUAGAAGAACCAACAGCCUUGGGAGGUGACCGUGUCUUGACACUGGCCGAGGGAGGGGCAGACCUUGGUAAUGUCAAUUUCCAUACUUCCUCCUCCCAUGCGAGGACUGGAAAAUUCAAGAUGGGUGUUAAGAUUACAAAUUUAAGAGAAGAGAGUGUUCAAGAAGGAAUCACUAGCCCAUUUCUUGUGAGAGUUCGCCAAGGGAAAGCCGUACAGCACCUGAUCCGCAAAGCACCGCACUUCAGUGUUGACUGCGUCCUCUGCGGCUGCCUUGUUUUCCUCGGCCACGACCUCUUCAUGUACAACGACGCAGCGUUCUGCAGCAUGGAGUGCCGGCAGCAGCACAUAACGCAUGACGAGCGGAAGAAAAAGUGCACGGCGAGGUCUAUGACCCACCGGUGCACGCGCCCAUGGGCACCAGACCCGGAUGGGUAG